AGAGAAAGAGGCACACCUGUCCUCCUUAAUGAU
This 33-nucleotide transfer RNA is filed under the name Pachyornis geranoides (stout-legged moa). RNAcentral describes it as "partial tRNA-Lys". The record is from RNAcentral. Lineage: Eukaryota; Metazoa; Chordata; Aves; Dinornithiformes; Emeidae.